Molecule: ribosomal RNA, 440 nt
Filed under: uncultured bacterium
Lineage: Bacteria
Description: partial 16S ribosomal RNA
Rfam family: Bacterial small subunit ribosomal RNA
Source: RNAcentral
CCUACGGGUGGCAGCAGUGGGGAAUAUUGGACAAUGGGGGCAACCCUGAUGCAGCAACGCCGCGUGAGUGAAGAAUUAUCUCGGUAUUUAACGCUUUAUUUGUAGGGAAGUAGAUGACGGUACGUGAUUAUGUAGCCCCGGCUAACUUCGGUCCAGCAGCCGUGGUACUACGGAGGGGGCCAGGGUUAUCCGGAUUUACUGGGUUUAAAGGGAGCGCAGUGGGCAGUGCAAGUCUGUAGUGAAAGUCAGGGGCCCAACCCGGGAACUGCUAUGGAAACUGUGAGGCUUGAGUACAGGUGGGGUAGGCGGAAUUCGUGGUGUAGCGGUGAAAUGCGUAGAUAUGACGAAGAACUCCAGUGGCGAAGGCAGCCUGCUAGACAGUAACUGACAUUGAUGCUCGAAAGCGUGGGUAGCAAACAGGAUUAGAUACCCGUGUAGUC